This 259-nucleotide unclassified non-coding RNA is filed under the name fungal sp. RNAcentral's name for it is "partial internal transcribed spacer region". The stretch from base 1 to 46 matches the Rfam family "Eukaryotic small subunit ribosomal RNA", at positions 1786 to 1831 of the family's 1831-position model. Lineage: Eukaryota; Fungi. The record is from RNAcentral.
AAGUCGUAACAAGGUCUCCGUUGGUGAACCAGCGGAGGGAUCAUUACGAAAAGAGUAUUCUGUACUCGUAAACCCUUUGUGAACAUACCUCAGUUAGUUGCUUCGGCGGGAGGCUCCCUAGUGGGGUCCUGGGGCCCGGCCGUAUGCCCGGGCUCCCGCCGAAGGAGCGCCAACCAAACUCUUGUUGUAACCCAGUGGUAUAUCCGAGUCAAAACAAGAAAACAAGUUAAAACUUUCAACAACGGAUCUCUUGGUUCUG